AGUGAACGCUGGCGGUAGGCCUAACACAUGCAAGUCGAACGGCAGCACAGUAAGAGCUUGCUCUUACGGGUGGCGAGUGGCGGACGGGCGAGGAAUACAUCGGAAUCUACUUUUUCGUGGGGGAUAACGUAGGGAAACUUACGCUAAUACCGCAUACGACCUACGGGUGAAAGCAGGGGAUCUUCGGACCUUGCGCGAUUGAAUGAGCCGAUGUCGGAUUAGCUAGUUGGCGGGGUAAAGGCCCACCAAGGCGACGAUCCGUAGCUGGUCUGAGAGGAUGAUCAGCCACACUGGAACUGAGACACGGUCCAGACUCCUACGGGAGGCAGCAGUGGGGAAUAUUGGGCAAUGGGCGCAAGCCUGAUCCAGCCAUACCGCGUGGGUGAAGAAGGCCUUCGGGUUGUAAAGCCCUUUUGUUGGGAAAGAAAAGCAGCAGGUUAAUACCCCGCUGUUCUGACGGUACCCAAAGAAUAAGCACCGGCUAACUUCGUG
This 492-nucleotide ribosomal RNA is filed under the name uncultured bacterium. RNAcentral describes it as "partial 16S ribosomal RNA". It matches the Rfam family "Bacterial small subunit ribosomal RNA", at positions 29 to 507 of the family's 1533-position model. The record is from RNAcentral.